This 440-nucleotide ribosomal RNA is filed under the name uncultured bacterium. RNAcentral's name for it is "partial 16S ribosomal RNA". It matches the Rfam family "Bacterial small subunit ribosomal RNA", at positions 338 to 795 of the family's 1533-position model. The record is from RNAcentral.
CCUACGGGUGGCAGCAGUGGGGAAUCUUGCACAAUGGGGGAAACCCUGAUGCAGCGACGCCGCGUGAGCGAUGAAGUAUUUCGGUAUGUAAAGCUCUAUCAGCAGGGAAGAAGAUGACGGUAACUGACUAAGAAGCCCCGGCUAACUACGGGCCAGCAGCCGCGGUAAUACGUAGGGGGCAAGCGUUAUCCGGAUUUACUGGGGGUAAAGGGAGCGUAGACGGCGAUGCAAGCCAGAUGUGAAAGCCCGGGGCUCAACCCCGGGACUGCAUUUGGAACUGUGUGGCUGGAGUGUCGGAGAGGCAGGCGGAAUUCCUAGUGUAGCAGUGAAAUGCGUAGAUAUCAGGAGGAACACCAGUGGCGAAGGCGGCCUGCUGGACGAUAACUGACGUUGAGGCACGAAAGCGUGGGGAGCAAACAGGAUUAGAUACCCGUGUAGUC